UACGGGGGGAGCAAGCGUUGUUCGGAUUUACUGGGCGUAAAGGGCGCGUAGGCGGUCAGCACAAGUCAGUUGUGAAAUCUCCGGGCUUAACUCGGAAAGGUCAACUGAUACUGUGCGACUAGAGUGCAGAAGGGGCAACUGGAAUUCUCGGUGUAGCGGUGAAAUGCGUAGAUAUGUGGAGGAAUACCGAUGGCGAAGGCAGCCCCCUGGGAUAACACUGACGCUCAUGCACGAAAGCCAGGGGAGCGAACGGG
Molecule: ribosomal RNA, 254 nt
Filed under: uncultured bacterium
Lineage: Bacteria
Description: partial 16S ribosomal RNA
Rfam family: Bacterial small subunit ribosomal RNA
Source: RNAcentral